Malurus melanocephalus (red-backed fairy wren) is the source of this 4964-nucleotide long non-coding RNA. RefSeq lists it as uncharacterized. The record is from RefSeq and is a predicted model, not a curated record. Lineage: Eukaryota; Metazoa; Chordata; Aves; Passeriformes; Maluridae. The transcript is spliced from 3 exons.
CCUUAGGCUGGUCAGUGUGGUGGUCAGUCUGGGUCAGGCUGUGGACACUGAGGUGAAGCAUGGCCACCAACAAGCACAGUGGGAGGGUGGCCUUCAUCAUUCUUCACAGCUACUGCGUGGACAAAGAACAAAAGCUCUUGGAUGCUGGAGGUCAGCUGUAUUGACAUCUGAUCUUUUAUUUCUGUCUGCUACUGCCUUCAAGUGGUAGUCACUGUUAUCUCCUGACCUCCUCCUUUACUAUGGAAGUGUUUUUUAAAUCCUUGUUCUUCUGAGUUUACCUGUAAUUCCUCUCCAUUGCUGCCUACUUCAGUUCUGUUUUAUUCCAGCUACAAAAAUUCCUCGGUGGUGGGGAAAGAAAGACGCGAGUAUUAAAGAAAAUUAGGAAUCCAAGGGAGAGAAGUGAAAAGAUGGGUUCCUUCUUGUGUGUAUCCCACAUCAGGUUAUGGGAAGAUGAGACCACUGGUGUGGACGUGGCCUCUCCUAUCUUUCCAAACUUCUUAUCAUCAGGGAAGUGUCCUUUUGCAAGGUAAAUAUAUGCCUAAGAGCAUGAGAGCCAGAGUAGUGCUCAGCAGCAAGCCAGGGUGUCAUCUUGGGCAUUUGUAGUGUCUCUGAUAUUUUUUUUUCUUUCUUUGUUUACUGCUUUCUCUUUUACCAGUUAGACCGAGAACCUGCUGGGAUGAUUUGUGAUGUCUAAGGUGCUUAACCUGCCAGAAAACAGGUAAGAGCUAUUCCUAUUAAAAAGAUGGCACAAGUGACUAGAAAAACUCCAAAUAGCCCUCACAGAGUGUCCUACUUGAAACAGAUCAGCUUCAGGCAGAAGAUUACAAGUUAGCUGCUCACCCCCCAAACAAUGGUAAGAGGACCCAAAGACAUGGGUUCAGCAGAGCAGAUGAGAUGAUGUUUACUGGGAUUUUCCCCACCCGAAGACAGCACUCUGACCAGUAAGAUUUGGUUAAAAGGAUCCAGCUUGUCUUUCUGCAGCUUUGCUCUGUGUGAUCUGGGUAAACUGGAAUUUACAGAGGACUUAGRCGUAGCAAAAUCAGUUUGUGAAUUCUGUCUGGACCAUCUUUACUCAUUCACUUCAGUUUUSGUUAUCUAGUUGUAAGCUUUAGGGAAAAUUAGUUAUGAAAAUAAAAUUGACAGUUGAGAAGUCAGGAUACUUAUUGAAACAGAUUUCUUCUAGAUGUUUUUGAGCUAUUUGGGAUAAAUAUUCAGAACAGAGUCAUACUCCGUGGAGCUGCUAUAGUGAAUCCCCCAAAUUUGCUAUUUGAUAUUUCUUGAAAUUAAAUUCAACUGUCAUUUGAGUGCUUAGAAAGUAGGUUUUACCCUUGAAAGCAGAUGUGUUUUAUGACUCACUUAACUAAAUAUCAUACAGCUGGCUCAAAAUCAUUAAGGUAAAGAUAACUGGGUACUUACUUUACAUUCAGAAGGCUCUUGCUCUCAGUGGGUUGUGCUGUUUCUUGCUGCUUUACUCGUACUGCUGUUUUCCUCUGUUAAACAUUACAUGGCUUCAGAUACACAUUACCUGGAAGCACAGUGCUGCAUGCUGAUGAAGAAAGUUUUCAUGGACUUUGUGUCCACAUCUCUUCACUCCAAAGAGAGAGCAAAGACCAUAGGGCCCAGCUGGUCAGUAGAGUGUUACAUCCCAAAGGAUAUGCAAUCCUAAGCAAAUAUUUAUUGGAAAUUAUAUUUUGGUGGCAAGAGCAGUUACUCUGCUCUGUGUGCUAUCUGAGAUGGAUAUAACUGUUCAUCUGGAGACACAAUUUUGCCCAGCACUAAACUCUGUAAGGCCAGGGUGAGGGAGCUACAAGGAGCACUACUUGUCCUCAGCCAUGCUACCCAGCUUACUGGGCUCCACUUAUGUGUCAAAAUCUUUUAUUUCUGUGCAGCAGAAACCUCAUUGGUCACUAUUCAGAAGCCAAUGAGUCCUGUUGGCCUCAUAAAUAAAGAGGGUGCCUCCUCCAGUCAUGUAGGAAUAGUGAAUUUUAGCUGUAUGACAAUUAAUUGAAUGCUCUCCUCACAACCAAUUUUUUCUUACAGAUUCUUUCUGUAUCUCUGUUAAGGACCACCUAAUUUAUCAUAACCCGAAAAAUACUUAAUGUAGAUUUUUGCAAUUCCAAAAGCUGUAUAAAGUAUGAGCCAUCACUGCAAGUGCCCAGAGACAAUACUGAACAAAUGCAACUGCUGUAAUGUAUAUGAACAGCAACCUAGUCUCAAAUACAUCAAAUAACAAAUGAUGGAAGAGAGAAUCUUCCAAAGGAAGAUAAAUGCUGUGAAGCAGGUUUACCACCAUUCAUGAAUGGAUGAACUGUUCAGAUUCAUGGUUUGAUGAGCCAGCCAGGAAAAUGCCUGAUUAGUCCCUCCAUGCCUCUGGUGCUCUUUGCGGGACUUGGUCUGCUCAGCAAGGUGCAGCACAAUCCCUGGAUCCUGGAGARCCAAGGAGAUGUGGGUGUAAACCAGUGUAAACACAGUUGUUGCCAAUCCCCAGUUGUGCUGCUUUCAGAUGUAAUUCUUUACCUACUGGAUCUAGGACCUUGGUCAUGCAGAUAGGUUACCGGGACKGUAUUUACAGACAGCACUUUUUAAAAAAUUUUCAUCUUUUCCUUUUUUUAAAUUUCAGAAUGUGGCUUAACUCUGCAUGCUUGCUUUAGAAAUAGCCAAAGUUUGCUGUUAAAUAUUUUGAUUUUGAAUUUGUAUUUUUUUCUUAGUAGAGUACCAAUURCUGCUGUCCCUUGGAGCACCUGUGAAGGUCAGGUGAGACUUGAUGAAGCAGCCUGUUUUGUUUUUUUGCCAGCCACAAAAACCCUGCAUUAAAUUGAGUGAAGGUGUAGCUAGAAUGCCCGAUGGCACAAAUGCAGUUCUUCAGGAAAAAAGAGAGAGGUGCUCAUGUUGCUCCAAGACAGUCAAGAUGUUGGUGGUUCUGGGCACUUCUUUAGUCAUACACGUGAGCGGUGUUAAACAUUUACACUUCUAUUAAACAUUGCAUGGAUCAGAAAAAAAACCCCUGUCUGAGGACACAGAUAAAUGCUGAUGUAGCCAUGCAGAGAAAGUAGAAGUCAGUGCUCUCAGGGCCAGCUGGCUCCAAUGUUUGUUGUCCCCAAACAUUCACAACAGCCAUCUGCAAACACACUUAGAAGAGGGUAGGUCCAUGGCUAUGAGCAGCUGGACUAUCCCAUACACCUUCCUAGCUUAUUGCCAGCUGGUGAAACAAGGGGUAAGACAUCUCCUGAAGUGUGUUACGGCUUGCACUGGGGCUUUAGUGUUCUGAUCAUGCAGUUGGGGCCCCUGCUUCAACAUGGCACUAAGAAAAGCAGAGCAGARGAGGUAGUUAACAUGUAACUUGUUUUUUCUUCCCCCCACAAAUGAACUUGGCAGCAGUUCAGAAAUAGUCCUACAUUCAAGGGCUUUCUUUGAGCCUUGGUUCAGUCACAACAGAGGAGGAACCCUGGGCACUGGACCCCRUCGUGCUGCUGCAGGGCCAGCUGAAGCAAAAGAGAGCAGGAAAGAGAUGGUGCUGUAAAGCACCAAAGCAAGCAUUGAGGCUAAUUCUGGAUUCCCUGCAUGACUCUGAGGUGAACCAAAAYACGCCUCAGUACAGUGAGAAAACGGUGUCAGAGACACAAGCACAAAUCUUUUUGCCAUUCAACAUUCCUCUGUAUUAGUGAAAUCUUGUUGAAAGUCAGCAUGGAUUGAUUUUUGAAACGCUUUCAAAAUCUGCUUCUCUUUGCUUCCAUUAUCCUCAUGAGAUGCCUUGAAGAAGAGGUUCAUAAUCCUACCAGGGAGGUCAGCAGAGGUUCUCCAAGCCAGCAGUUGGUCCACGCCAGGGCCUGCUUCUGGAGACAGUGUGUAAAGCAUGCCUACACUACUACUUUGUUUUACACCUUAGUUCCUUCCKAAAAAUGUGAUUCAUUCCUGCUGUUUUAUUCCAAAUGCUUCUUUUAAAAGCUACCUAGGUUUUUCAUCAGCAAAUACUCAGCUUCCCUUGCUGCAGCCCCAGCCAUGCCCUACUGAAUGCAAUGCAAAGCAUCACUCUAUAGAAACAUUUACUCAGGCUGUUACAAAACUCUCCUGUAAUUUUGAGCACUCUGAAAGAAAAGUAAUGGCACUGUCUGAAAGCAGCAAAAUGUCAGCCUUGGCUGAGGAUGGACCUGGGUGAAGUAUUUGCAGAGUAGUCACAGCCACCCCUCUCCAGGCCUGUAACACCCUCACUGUAGAACACAUAUGUGCUAUAGAUGUGAAACCCUCUCUGUUGGCUGGCCCAAGGCUGUCUUCAUGUCCUGUCCACAAAGACAGUACUUGCCUUUCCAAACUUCGCCAUUGCUUACCCUGGCACCAGGCUCCAGCUGAGAGGAUGCAGUGACAGUGGGGAGCUGGGGGUGGUGGCUCUGGGGCAGUAGCCACUGUUAGGUUGAAGAACUCACUUAAAGUUCAAGGCAUACAUGUUUGCAGUCAGAUUUUCCUAUUAAUUUUUAUUCUUGCAACAGGACUGAAAGGUCUGCCAACCCUGGCUUUCCAGCCAGCAGUGAAGGAAGAUGGAUGCAUGGAAGGUAAGCCAUGCUGUUUUGUUGAGGUUCACAUAAGAAUCUUUCCUGUAUUUCUUUUCCCACAAAUAUUUUUCUUAUCUUGUUAUUCUUAUUUCUCUGUUAUCCCAUUUGGCAAAACCCACAUGCUCAUUUAUACUGUAGAUAGAGAUUAAUUUCAGGAUCUUGUUACCUUAAUGAGUCUUUCAUAAUUUGCAUAAUUUGAGAGGUAAACAUAUCCAUUUCAAACAAUGAUAAUAGAAGCUACAGAUGAUGAAUGGUGUUGUCAAGUUAUCCAGGAGGAACAUGGAUUUAUGAUUSACAUGCCAGUCAAACGUAAUGUAGCAAGAGUUCAGUUUCUGACUGCCAUUAAAAUCAUUACUUCAGGAUAACGAAUUUUGUAUUUCAUAAUUUUAAAAUGUGUUCAAGAUUUUCUCUAAUUUU